UACGUAGGGUACAAGCGUUGUCCGGAAUUAUUGGGCGUAAAGAGCUCGUAGGCGGUCUGUCGCGUCUGCUGUGAAAACUCAGGGCUUAACCCUGAGCUUGCAGUGGGUACGGGCAGACUAGAGUGCGGUAGGGGAGACUGGAAUUCCUGGUGUAGCGGUGAAAUGCGCAGAUAUCAGGAGGAACACCGGUGGCGAAGGCGGGUCUCUGGGCCGUAACUGACGCUGAGGAGCGAAAGCAUGGGGAGCGAACAGG
Molecule: ribosomal RNA, 253 nt
Filed under: uncultured bacterium
Lineage: Bacteria
Description: partial 16S ribosomal RNA
Rfam family: Bacterial small subunit ribosomal RNA
Source: RNAcentral